This 517-nucleotide ribosomal RNA is filed under the name uncultured Flavobacterium sp. RNAcentral describes it as "bacterial SSU rRNA". It matches the Rfam family "Bacterial small subunit ribosomal RNA", at positions 8 to 524 of the family's 1533-position model. Lineage: Bacteria; Pseudomonadati; Bacteroidota; Flavobacteriia; Flavobacteriales; Flavobacteriaceae. The record is from RNAcentral.
AGAGUUUGAUCCUGGCUCAGGAUGAACGCUAGCGGCAGGCUUAACACAUGCAAGUCGAGGGGUAGAGGAAGCUUGCUUCCUUGAGACCGGCGCACGGGUGCGUAACGCGUAUGCAAUCUACCUUGUACAGGGGGAUAGCCCAGAGAAAUUUGGAUUAAUACCCCAUAGUAUUAUUGAAUGGCAUCAUUUGAUUAUUAAAGUUCCAACGGUACAAGAUGAGCAUGCGUCCCAUUAGCUAGUUGGUGUGGUAACGGCACACCAAGGCGACGAUGGGUAGGGGUCCUGAGAGGGAGAUCCCCCACACUGGUACUGAGACACGGACCAGACUCCUACGGGAGGCAGCAGUGAGGAAUAUUGGUCAAUGGGCGCAAGCCUGAACCAGCCAUGCCGCGUGCAGGAUGACGGUCCUAUGGAUUGUAAACUGCUUUUGUACAGGAAGAAACACUCCCUCGUGAGGGAGCUUGACGGUACUGUAAGAAUAAGGAUCGGCUAACUCCGUGCCAGCAGCCGCGGUAAU